This 115-nucleotide small RNA is filed under the name Marmota monax (woodchuck). Lineage: Eukaryota; Metazoa; Chordata; Mammalia; Rodentia; Sciuridae. The record is from RNAcentral.
GCUGAACUCAGGGGCUUGCACCUGUAAUCCCAGCACUUGGGAGGCUGAGGCGGAAGGAUCCCUUGAGCCCAAAGUUUGAGACCAGCCUGGGCAACACAGUGAGACCCUGUCUCAG